UUGAGGACGAGUCACGUACGCCCGUUGUACAUUUAACGCUCGAUUAUUUUUUUUCUUCAUUUAAAACGUGAGAGCACGUGUUAAGUGGGCUAUUUUUAAUUAUCGCCGAAGUUUAUGUGAUUCGAGAAUGUUCCUUUUUGUGCCACUUUAAGGGAAAAAAACGGGUAAAAGGCGUAAAGUAAAUGGGCCCAUUCAUCUUACAACGCAUAGACUGCUGCAAAAAAAUAAGGGAUCGGCAUUGCGUUUCUAUGGCUUCAUGAAAUACGAUUUGGAUUUUAUAGCCUCUCCAGUUGGAUAAGUGUUGCUUCGUAUUUGAUUGCAAUGCUCUGCGGCCGGGUAACCAAAAAGGGAAGAAAUAAUUCAGUAGAAUUUUGUGAUUUAGCUUUAAACUGCCAUCGACGACGCCUGAAAAUUUGAAUUAAGAUCGGGAAGAGAUAUGCGGACCGCAGCUUCAAAUUUGGAAAACUAAUUGCUACCGUAGUCGUCUAGAUAUUUACCUCCCUUGUAUUCAUUUGCAGUUUACCCGGAAGUUGGUGAGAUCGACAUCGAUGAUUCUACAACCCCCUCCAAUACAAAAAUUCAAAAAAUUGCAGUAUUCGUUUGUUCGCUCCCCUACACCACCCACGCAGGAAAUGUUUCUCGGUGUACUACAAACGCCCCUCCACCCCACUUCAAAUGAAGAAAUUGCGUGUAUUAAACCACAUGUGCAAGUGCUAAUAUUGUGCCGUAAUAUAUCUAUGGACCAUUCUUUUCAGAUACUACCAAACUCAUUAAUUUUUUGUGCAACAUCAAAUUUGGGGUUUUAUUCUAGAGUGAAGAUUUUUGUAUUGUUUAAAAAAAGUUUGGCCCGUGUGUUUACGAACCCAGUGAAUUUUGGCUUCCAAGUUAGUUUGGGCAAGCCAAGUGGCAAUUUGUAAAAUUAUUAUUAUGUGUAUUUUUGCGUGACGUUUUUGUUCUUUUGUGAAGUCAUGAGGCGAGUUCCAAUACCAAUAAUGCCCCUUGAUAGAUAGUAGCUUUUGUUGCUAACA
Molecule: long non-coding RNA, 1028 nt
Organism: Photinus pyralis (common eastern firefly)
Lineage: Eukaryota; Metazoa; Arthropoda; Insecta; Coleoptera; Lampyridae
Exons: 3
Source: RefSeq, a predicted model, not a curated record